UACGUAGGGUGCAAGCGUUGUCCGGAAUUAUUGGGCGUAAAGAGCUCGUAGGCGGUUUGUCGCGUCUGCUGUGAAAACUCGGGGCUUAACUCCGGGCCUGCAGUGGGUACGGGCAGACUAGAGUGCGGUAGGGGAGACUGGAAUUCCUGGUGUAGCGGUGAAAUGCGCAGAUAUCUGGAGGAACACCGGUGGCGAAGGCGGCAUCCUGGACCGGCAUUGACGCUGAGGCGCGAAAGCCAGGGGAGCAAACGGG
RNAcentral lists this ribosomal RNA (253 nucleotides) under uncultured bacterium. Its description in RNAcentral is "partial 16S ribosomal RNA". It matches the Rfam family "Bacterial small subunit ribosomal RNA", at positions 524 to 776 of the family's 1533-position model. The record is from RNAcentral.